CUACGGGUUGCUCCAGUGAGGAAUAUUGCACAAUGGGGGGAACCCUGAUGCAGCAACGCCGCGUGGAGGAUGACGCAUUUCGGUGUGUAAACUCCUUUUAUAUGUCAAGAAAAUGACGGUAGCAUAUGAAUAAGCACCGGCUAACUCCGUGCCAGCAGCCGCGGUAAUACGGAGGGUGCAAGCGUUACUCGGAAUCACUGGGCGUAAAGGACGCGUAGGCGGGUUGGAAAGUCAGGUGUGAAAUCCUACAGCUUAACUGUAGAACUGCACUUGAAACUUCUAACCUAGAGUAUGGGAGGGGAAGAUGGAAUUAGUGGUGUAGGGGUAAAAUCCGUAGAUAUCACUAGGAAUACCAAAAGCGAAGGCGAUCUUCUGGAACAAUACUGACGCUAAGGCGUGAAAGCGUGGGGAGCAAACAGGAUUAGAUACCCUUGUAGUC
Molecule: ribosomal RNA, 439 nt
Filed under: uncultured bacterium
Lineage: Bacteria
Description: partial 16S ribosomal RNA
Rfam family: Bacterial small subunit ribosomal RNA
Source: RNAcentral